RNAcentral lists this unclassified non-coding RNA (229 nucleotides) under plant metagenome. RNAcentral describes it as "partial contains small subunit ribosomal RNA, internal transcribed spacer 1, and 5.8S ribosomal RNA". The record is from RNAcentral.
UCUCCGUAGGUGAACCUGCGGAGGGAUCAUUACAGAGUUCAUGCCCUACAGGGUAGAUCUCCCACCCUAUGUUAUUAUUACUUUGUUGCUUUGGCGGGCCGUUAGUCUCCGGCCCGACUACCGGCCCCGGCUGGUAAGCGCCCGCCAAGGGACCCAAAACUCUGAAUAUUAGUGUCGUCUGAGUACUAUAUAAUAGUUAAAACUUUCAACAACGGAUCUCUUGGUUCUG